CAAUAGCGUAUAUUAAAGUUGUUGCGGUUAAAAAGCUCGUAGUUGGAUUUCUGCCGAGGACGACCGGUCCGCCCUCCGGGUGAGUAUCUGGCUCGGCCUGGGCAUCUUCUUGGAGAACGUAGCUGCACUUGGCUGUGUGGUGCGGUAUUCAGGACUUUUACUUUGAGGAAAUUAGAGUGUUUCAAGCAGGCAUACGCCUUGAAUACAUUAGCAUGGAAUAAUAAGAUAGGACCUCGGUUCUAUUUUGUUGGUUUCUAGAUCUGAGGUAAUGAUUAAUAGGGAUAGUUGGGGGCAUUCGUAUUUAACUGUCAGAGGUGGAAUUCUUGGAUUUGUUAAAGACGGACUACUGCGAAAGCAUUUGCCAAGGAUGUUUUCAUUGA
RNAcentral lists this ribosomal RNA (380 nucleotides) under uncultured eukaryote. RNAcentral describes it as "partial 18S ribosomal RNA". It matches the Rfam family "Eukaryotic small subunit ribosomal RNA", at positions 592 to 976 of the family's 1831-position model. The record is from RNAcentral.